GAUGAACGCUGGCGGCGUGCCUAAUACAUGCAAGUCGAGCGAAUGGAUUAAGAGCUUGCUCUUAUGAAGUUAGCGGCGGACGGGUGAGUAACACGUGGGUAACCUGCCCAUAAGACUGGGAUAACUCCGGGAAACCGGGGCUAAUACCGGAUAACAUUUUGAACCGCAUGGUUCGAAAUUGAAAGGCGGCUUCGGCUGUCACUUAUGGAUGGACCCGCGUCGCAUUAGCUAGUUGUUGAGGUAACGGCUCACCAAGGCAACGAUGCGUGUCCGACCUGAGAGGGUGAUCGGCCACACUGGGACUGAGACACGGCCCAGACUCCUACGGGAGGCAGCAGUAGGGAAUCUUCCGCAAUGGACGAAAGUCUGACGGAGCAACGCCGCGUGAGUGAUGAAGGCUUUCGGGUCGUAAAACUCUGUUGUUAGGGAAGAACAAGUGCUAGUUGAAUAAGCUGGCACCUUGACGGUACCUAACCAGAAAGCCACGGCUAACUACGUGCCAGCCGCCGCCGUAA
This 515-nucleotide ribosomal RNA is filed under the name uncultured bacterium. Its description in RNAcentral is "partial 16S ribosomal RNA". It matches the Rfam family "Bacterial small subunit ribosomal RNA", at positions 28 to 523 of the family's 1533-position model. The record is from RNAcentral.